GACGAACGCUGGCGGCGUGCUUAACACAUGCAAGUCGAACGGAAAGGCCCUGCUUUUGUGGGGUGCUCGAGUGGCGAACGGGUGAGUAGCACGUGAGUAACCUGCCCUUGACUUUGGGAUAACUUCAGGAAACUGGGGCUAAUACCGGAUAGGAGCUCCUGCUGCAUGGUGGGGGUUGGAAAGUUUCGGCGGUUGGGGAUGGACUCGCGGCUUAUCAGCUUGUUGGUGGGGUAGUGGCUUACCAAGGCUUUGACGGGUAGCCGGCCUGAGAGGGUGACCGGCCACAUUGGGACUGAGAUACGGACCAGACUCCUACGGGAGGCAGGAGUGGGGAAUAUUGCACAAUGGGCGGAAGCCUGAUGCAGCAACGCCGCGUGCGGGAUGACGGCCUUCGGGUUGUAAACCGCUUUCGCCGGUGACGAAGCGUGAGUGACGGUAAUGGGUAAAGAAGCACCGGCUAACUACGUG
RNAcentral lists this ribosomal RNA (468 nucleotides) under uncultured bacterium. RNAcentral describes it as "partial 16S ribosomal RNA". It matches the Rfam family "Bacterial small subunit ribosomal RNA", at positions 28 to 507 of the family's 1533-position model. The record is from RNAcentral.